AUGACCUACUACCGUCCCGGGGUUGAACUAAACCGCGAGAAGCUAAGUCAUUAUGUUUCAUGGCUUGAGGAUCUUGAUACUGUCAACACAAAUUUUCUGCCUGCACUUAGAAAUGUUAGUACUGAAAAAGUGCGACCAAUAGUGUUCGUAAUGAACUACGGUCACAUCUAUAUAGGAAGGAUGGUAAGAUUUUACUAUUUUUCCUCAGUGCAUCUUUUCCAUACAUUAUUUUUGAAGCUAAACUUCAUUGCUAAGUAUGUUACCAUACGAUGUUCUUCAACAGGGACUCCUGAUGAAUGUUGUGCCUUAUGGGAUCGAGACUAA
This 324-nucleotide ribosomal RNA is filed under the name Triticum aestivum (bread wheat). RNAcentral's name for it is "partial small subunit ribosomal RNA". The record is from RNAcentral. Lineage: Eukaryota; Viridiplantae; Streptophyta; Magnoliopsida; Poales; Poaceae.